GGCUGAAACUCGCCUACAUGAAGCUGGAAUUGCUAGUAAUCACAGGUCAGCAUACUGUGGUGAAUACGUUCCCGGGCCUUGUACACACCGCCCGUCACACCAUGAGAGUUGAGAAUACCCGAAGCCCAUGUCAAAGUGGUCGAAGGUAGGCUUGAUGAUUGGGUGAAGUCGUAACAAGGUAAC
This 183-nucleotide ribosomal RNA is filed under the name uncultured bacterium. Its description in RNAcentral is "partial 16S ribosomal RNA". It matches the Rfam family "Bacterial small subunit ribosomal RNA", at positions 1303 to 1500 of the family's 1533-position model. The record is from RNAcentral.